GAUGGACGCUGGCGGCGUGCCUAAUACAUGCAAGUCGAGCGAAUGGAUUAAGAGCUUGCUCUUAUGAAGUUAGCGGCGGACGGGUGAGUAACACGUGGGUAACCUGCCCAUAAGACUGGGAUAACUCCGGGAAACCGGGGCUAAUACCGGAUAACAUUUUGAACCGCAUGGUUCGAAAUUGAAAGGCGGCUUCGGCUGUCACUUAUGGAUGGACCCGCGUCGCAUUAGCUAGUUGGUGAGGUAACGGCUCACCAAGGCAACGAUGCGUAGCCGACCUGAGAGGGUGGUCGGCCACACUGGGACGGAGACACGGCCCCGACUCCUACGGGAGGCAGCAGUAGGGAAUCUUCCGCAAUGGACGAAAGUCUGACGGGGCAACGCCGCGUGAGUGAUGAAGGCUUUCGGGUCGUAAAACUCUGUUGUUAGGGAAGAACAAGUGCUAGUUGAAUAAGCUGGCACCUUGACGGUACCUAACCAGAAAGCCACGGCUAACUACGUGCCAGCCGCCGCCGUAA
RNAcentral lists this ribosomal RNA (515 nucleotides) under uncultured bacterium. RNAcentral describes it as "partial 16S ribosomal RNA". It matches the Rfam family "Bacterial small subunit ribosomal RNA", at positions 28 to 523 of the family's 1533-position model. The record is from RNAcentral.